Molecule: long non-coding RNA, 1257 nt
Filed under: Rhipicephalus microplus (southern cattle tick)
Lineage: Eukaryota; Metazoa; Arthropoda; Arachnida; Ixodida; Ixodidae
Description: uncharacterized LOC119163215, transcript variant X2
Source: RNAcentral
CUCGGCGGUGGAGCCCAAGGCGGGGCCGUGAGGGAAGAGCGUGCGAAGAAGAGAGCAACAACGAACGAAACUGAGCCGCCGAGAGUCUGCAGAGAGGCGGGAUACAGAGCUUCUCCCGCGUGUCCCAAGGUAGCUACGAGCGGCUGCGCGUCCGGCGUCGGGUGAACAUGAAGUCGACCCGCGCUUUUGCCCGGAAAUCAACAGCGGUGGUCGUCACGGUGGCGUGCAUACUCAUCGUCUCCUUGUCGACGGUCUCGGGACAAGAUGUAGACAUAUGUGACCCGAGCGCAGUGACGGGGUGCUACGAGCUGUACACGACCGCGUUAUGGCAAGAGGAGUUCAAGCCCAGUCCAGAGGGCGAGUAUGACGAAGAAAAGGUCAAGCGAGGUUGCAGCCACAUCGAAGAGAAGUUCCCGUGCCAUCGAUAUCUGGCCCAUUGCUCUGAAGCAGUGACUGGCGAACUCAGGAUCCAAGAAAGGGGAUACGAAGCGUUGCGAAACAUUGUGUGAUGUUAACGCUCUGAAAGAAUUUUAUACCGCCAUCAGGUGCCUAAACACGGAGAAGAUGGAAGAAUGCGAAAGAACGUUAGCGCCAACGUCCAAUCCGCAGGACGCCGGGAAGCCACCUGUCCCGGCGCCUCGCUGCAUCAAAAACCCCGCGGAGACUGCCUGCUUCGACCAGGCACUCAACUCGUCCUGCACCCUGUCGAUGACGACGGCCAAGGCAGCGAUGGCCAGAGUUUUGAACGCCGCUGCAAUGCUCAAGGGCUGCGAGUCAUCUGCGAACGCACUCGUGGUUUCCAGAAGCUUUCUAGUUCUGCUGGUUGUUCCCCUUAUCCUGAAUUGGCUGAGGACAUGACCAGUGGGCUGGAAGAAAAUAACUCGGAUGAAUUCAGCGUAGGCCUUACGUAUGGCUAUGCUCAUGACUAUAAACCUCCUUUAUUUAUGGCGCUGCAGAAUGGCGAGUUACCAUUGUAACCUGAGUGCCCAGCCAGUACGAUGUACUUUCGCCAUUGUACUGCACGCUAUAUUGAGUUACGUUAAAGCAUUGUCUUUCUAAACGGACUUCAAAAGUUCGAAGUUAUAGCUGUGUUAAACGAGUUUUCAUUGGAACGUCACGUCGCCAUGAUGGAUGCCUGUACAACGUAAUGACGACAACGUAACGUCAAUCUUUGCUUUUUUGUGCUUUGCGAGGUUUUGUAGGUGUACAUAUUAUGUUGAAGAGUGGCAAUAAAGAAAUAUAUAUAUAUCUUGUUCA